GAUGAACGCUAGCGAUAGGCCUAACACAUGCAAGUCGAGGGGCAUCACAUGAAGUAGCAAUACGGAUGGUGGCGACCGGCGCACGGGUGAGUAACACGUAUGCAACCUGCCUUCAACAAGGGGAUAACCCGUUGAAAGACGGACUAAUACCCUAUAACACAGGGGUCCCGCAUGGGAAUAUUUGUUAAAGGACAACCGGUUGAAGAUGGGCAUGCGUUCCAUUAGCUAGUUGGCGGGGUAACGGCCCACCAAGGCAACGAUGGAUAGGGGAACUGAGAGGUUUAUCCCCCACACUGGUACUGAGACACGGACCAGACUCCUACGGGAGGCAGCAGUGAGGAAUAUUGGUCAAUGGACGCAAGUCUGAACCAGCCACGUCGCGUGAAGGAAGACGGCCCU
This 399-nucleotide ribosomal RNA is filed under the name uncultured bacterium. RNAcentral's name for it is "bacterial SSU rRNA". It matches the Rfam family "Bacterial small subunit ribosomal RNA", at positions 28 to 418 of the family's 1533-position model. The record is from RNAcentral.